AUAUUUCAAUUUGACAAUAAGAAAAUAACUAGUAGUUAAAAUGGCAAGCAAAAAACACACAUGAUACUUCAAAUAUCAAUUGCCAGAUUCAGUACAAGCUCUACAAAUGACACGUACUACAAGCUGUAACAUAUAUUCAAAUAAGAGCCAAAUCACCAAUAUACCAAUCAAGUUUAUUACAUUCCACCAAUCACAAUAUAACCAUACAAUAUUACACCAAUCACAAUAUAGCACUCUACAGAUAAAACGCUCAACAAGUACAGGCACGUCUCCAACACCUUAGCGCCUUGAGCCUGCAAAACAUCACAUCCAGCCACAUAUUAAUGAUCAAAUAAAUUCACCCCUUGACGGCAAUAAAAAACGAUGCUAAUCUAUGAACGAAAAUAAAAUAAACAAUCUUUGAGGCCAUAGCAUGUGCUACAAAAAUCUUAGCAAAUGCAUAGAUGUCCACACAGAGCACACAUCCUACAUGCACCAAGCAUCAGGCAUAUGUUCAAGAAGACAAGUAAUUUGAGAUGGAAACAAGUACAGCUAACAAUCUGACAUGUGUAGUAGCACCAACAAAAUAGCAAGACAUGGAAGAAUUUACAAGAACAACACCCUGGGAGUCCAAUUACAUGUACAUGAGGUACUGCUGCUAGUGUAUAACAAAGCAUGAGUCCAGCUUGUGUAGGAGCAGAGCAUGAGUCCAACAAAGCAAGCUAGCUAUAGGAGCAGAAAAGAGGGAGCUAGGGGUAGGAGAUGGAGCCAGCUCACCGAAGAACUUGGGAGUCCAGCUUGGGUCCUUGUUAAUCUGUUGCUGCUCCGGUAGCUCUCGUGUGCGGGUAUAAGAUCAGAU
Molecule: long non-coding RNA, 838 nt
Filed under: Triticum aestivum (bread wheat)
Lineage: Eukaryota; Viridiplantae; Streptophyta; Magnoliopsida; Poales; Poaceae
Description: long non-coding RNA (TAES_LNC028225)
Source: RNAcentral